ACCGAUCUCUUAGGGGACUCGCGUUUUCACACAACACCCUUUUAAAAAGUGUAGAAUGACCUCAUUUAUGCGAUCAAUACAACUUUCAACAACGGAUCUCUUGGCUCUCGCAUCGAUGAAGAACGCAGCGAAAUGCGAUACGUAAUGUGAAUUGCAGAAUUCAGUGAAUCAUCGAAUCUUUGAACGCACCUUGCGCCCCUUGGUAUUCCGAGGGGCACACCCGUUUGAGCGUCGUGAAAUUCUCAACCUCCUCGGUUUCUUCUGGAGACUGAAGGAGGCUUGGACUUUGGAUGUCUUUGCUGGCGUGUCUCGCCAGCUCCUCUUAAAUGAAUUAGCGUGGUCCUCUUUGCCGAACCUCGACACGUGAUAAGAUGCUUCCGUGUCUCGGUUUCUGGCUCUGUUGCUUUUGGGACCCGCUUCUAACCGUCUGGACCUUGCGUCGAGACAAUGUUCGAGCUCGUAUCCCUUCUUGGGAAACCCCCUCGACCCCACGAACCCUUGGCCUCAAAUCGGGUGAGACUACCCGCUGAACUUAAGC
This 538-nucleotide unclassified non-coding RNA is filed under the name uncultured Lactarius. RNAcentral's name for it is "sequence contains ITS1, 5.8S rRNA gene and ITS2". The stretch from base 81 to 234 matches the Rfam family "5.8S ribosomal RNA". Lineage: Eukaryota; Fungi; Basidiomycota; Agaricomycetes; Russulales; Russulaceae. The record is from RNAcentral.